UUUUAUUGAAGCUUCGGCAGAUUUAACUGGUUUCUAGUGGCGGACGGGUGAGUAACGCGUGGGUAACCUGCCUUGUACAGGGGGAUAACAGUCAGAAAUGACUGCUAAUACCGCAUAAGCGCACAGGACCGCAUGGUCCGGUGUGAAAAACUCCGGUGGUAUAAGAUGGACCCGCGUUGGAUUAGCUAGUUGGCAGGGUAACGGCCUACCAAGGCGACGAUCCAUAGCCGGCCUGAGAGGGUGAACGGCCACAUUGGGACUGAGACACGGCCCAGACUCCUACGGGAGGCAGCAGUGGGGAAUAUUGCACAAUGGGGGAAACCCUGAUGCAGCGACGCCGCGUGAAGGAAGAAGUAUCUCGGUAUGUAAACUUCUAUCAGCAGGGAAGAAAAUGACGGUACCUGACUAAGAAGCCCCGGCUAACUACGUGCCAGCAGCCGCGGUAAUACGUAGGGGGCAAGCGUUAUCCGGAUUUACUGGGUGUAAAGGGAGCGUAGACGGAUGGACAAGUCUGAUGUGAAAGGCUGGGGCUCAACCCCGGGACUGCAUUGGAAACUGCCCGUCUUGAGUGCCGGAGAGGUAAGCGGAAUUCCUAGUGUAGCGGUGAAAUGCGUAGAUAUUAGGAGGAACACCAGUGGCGAAGGCGGCUUACUGGACGGUAACUGACGU
This 669-nucleotide ribosomal RNA is filed under the name uncultured Lachnospiraceae bacterium. RNAcentral's name for it is "bacterial SSU rRNA". It matches the Rfam family "Bacterial small subunit ribosomal RNA", at positions 62 to 746 of the family's 1533-position model. The record is from RNAcentral. Lineage: Bacteria; Bacillati; Bacillota; Clostridia; Lachnospirales; Lachnospiraceae.